Alexandromys fortis (reed vole) is the source of this 1591-nucleotide long non-coding RNA. RefSeq lists it as uncharacterized. NCBI's taxonomy places the organism in Eukaryota, Metazoa, Chordata, Mammalia, Rodentia, Cricetidae. The transcript is spliced from 3 exons. The record is from RefSeq and is a predicted model, not a curated record.
GGGUCCAUUUACCAUCUCUGUGUUUGUUACAUUUCCUGGAACAAACAGCUGGUUAUAACAGGUAGCUAUUUUGGCUCAAAGAGGUUGAGGGUGCAGUCCACACCGCAGAGUGAGCAGCCUGAAGCUGUGGAAGGACUAUGAAGCUGCUUGCUAAUGGCUUGGUGGAUGAGGCAGCAGGGAGUGGACAGGAAGUGGGGUAACCCCUCAAAGACCCACUUCUCUACCAAGGCUCCGCCUCCCAAAGGCUCCACAGUGCUUCCUAAACAGCGCCACCUGCUGGGGACCAAGUGUUUAUACAUCUGAGCCUGCAGAAGACUAAGUCCCCAUGCGUUCCUCCUAGGGUACAGCUGUUUUCCAAGGUGCUGCGGGAUCCGGGCUCAGCACAGCUGCUCCUCGGGACAUCUGAGGGGAGAUGGCGAGGCUGGGUCCUCAGCCUGUGGGGCCUUGUCCUGAGCCUCAGGAUAAGCACGAGGAGACAGAGGACAGCGGUUUGCACAGCGUGACCUACACCUCACCCAGAACUGCAGUCAGGCCUUAGCCACAGAGCUCCGGCUGGGGACAGUGGCAGACCUACACAGGAGUCCUCUCCGUGGGGACUUGAUCAGCCUGGCCCCGCACCUGGGAUCCUGGGCAUCGCCAGCUUCCAGGCAGCCUGACUCACAACUUCAGCCUGCUGAAUGACUCAGGGAGCCCACAGGGGCAAACAUGAGUGGAAAUUGCAGUGGAUUAGAUGAAUUUACUGCUUCAGGAAAACUGCGACACACCUGGAGUCUCUGGGGACACUGGGACUCAAGGAGUCUGUCUUGGGGCUCAGGAGUUCUACAGAAUUCUAGCUCCUAUUCUGACACCGCAAGCUGGAUUGGGCCCUUUUCAUGGUCUCCUUGCUUCCUUCCACCCAUUGCCAUCUGUUCUGGUGUCUUACCUGUAGGAACAGCCUUCAAGGUGGGGGUGCAAGGGACCGGAGCCCAGGAGUCUCCCAACUGCUCAGCACAGAUGGAAUUGUGGACUGACACCUGUCACCACGAUGCCAACCUUGACACCUCAGGCCCCACCAUACCAGCCCCAGGCACUGGGCCCACUCCACCUUCCAUAUAUGGCCACGAAAACAUCCAGGUGGGGAUAGAAGGGUUAGGUUAUGCUUCCUCAUCGUGGCUGAAGUCGAGGGACAAUGUAGGCUAGACAAGUUGUUUCUCUUGUUGCUGGGGUACAAUACCCAGCAAAGGGUUUGUCUCGGCUCACAGGUUUGCGGCACAGUGGUUGGGAAGGCCUAGGGGCAUGAGGCAGGAAGCCACACUCCAUCUGCAGUCAGGAAACAGAAAGUGUAGCCCAGAGAAUGCUGCUGCCCACAUUCAGGUCCCUCAGGAACACGCUGAGUCUAUGUCAUGUGAAGCUGACUAUUGCUAGCAGUCAAGAGGAGGCCACCCACAGUCACCCACUGUCAUUAACAUGGACACCGUCACUCAUGAUCACCAUCACUCACAUGGUCACUGUCACUCAUGGUCACCAUCAUUCAUGGUCACUGUCACUCAUGGUCACGAUCACUCACAUGGUCACCGUCACUCACAUGGUAACCGACACUCAUGGUCACCAU